UUUCACAUACCGCACAGCUAGCCGAGACAUGCGCGCACAGCUAGCUAGUAUAAACUAGUACAUGCAGUACAGAGCUAGAGCUAGAGGCAAAACCUGGCUCCAUUGCUAAAGUAUUACAGCAUUCUCCGGCUGGAAAGAUGUUAGUUUGAGGCUGAGAAUGCUGCCCUGUCAGUAAUGAACCCGACGUAUUCAAGUUGAGGAAAAGAGUGAGACCAUUCGAUGUCUAGAGGAUAACCUGCUGAGGGAGUUGGAGGAGAAGCUGCUCGAGAGGUCUCAAAUCAUGGACCCAGGUGUCAUGGCUGAGCUGGUGAGAGAAUUGGAACUGGCCAACAGCAACUCAGAUUCUGCUGUGCAAGAGAGACUUGUGAUGGAGGAAGAGCUCAAGAAGGCACUGGAUUGAUGUGAGGAGUUGAAGCAGAGCAGUGUGCCUGCAGUGGACGUGGUGGACAUAUUCGAGUGCUACAAAGUAACGGGAGAAGGAAGAGUACUUGAAACAGGUGAUAAAGUGGUACAGUAUACCGUACCGUACGUAUAGCGUCCUGGGUAUAGUUUCCGUGGGCAAGCUAAACCUUGACAAAUAUUUAUCACUCACGAAAACGUAGGCAUGGUUGACCGGAACGCAUGCAAUGCAGUGAAGCAAAGGAAAUUUUUACACACGAAAUCACUGCUGCACCACGCCUACAUUUUUGUCUCGGAUUUUUUAUCCCACGAAAAUGACCUGCUAUACAGUAUGUACUGAUUAUGGCUUAGGCAAAAUACACAAAACAUGAUGCCGUUGUGUCUAGAGACUAUUGCCCGUUUUUUUCCCCAUAUAAAGGUUGCAUUUCUGGUACUGUAUCAGUUAGCCAGGGUUUCAUCUAUUGGGGGGGUGGUUCUUCCCCCCCAUGUUGUAGAAUAAUGACAUCAUCACAUUAGUUAAUGUGAUUAACUGAAGGUAGAUCUACUACUAAUCUAGACUUUAACAAUUCCUCCAGUGUGAGGCUAUUGGCUUAUUUUUAUGCCCCAAUCUUCAUGCAGGGACGUAGCAAGUAACUUUAAAGUGGUCAGGCCAACUUACAAUUAAAGGUCAGCUGCUUUUCUACUAUUGGAACUUUUAUACAGUGGUGAAUUUUUUACCUAAGAAAAAGGUCAUUCCUUUUCCUCACCAAAAUAGCAUGCGCAUUAAUUAUCACUUACAAUAUUUACGACCAUUGCCUACCCAGCUGCAAAAAGUGGUUAGGCCAAAACCUGACCAGCCUGACCGCUUGCUACAGCUUUGAUCUUAUGUGCAACGUUAUGCUAUAAUUAUGUGAAAACAUUAUUUCUUACUCGUCCAGGUUCAGGUUCGGAAAUGUUGUGUUUGAGAUCACGUCAAGCAGAUAGAGAAGGUGGAGCUGGUCCUCCAGGUGAGGGUGUGUG
Molecule: long non-coding RNA, 1398 nt
Organism: Halichondria panicea
Lineage: Eukaryota; Metazoa; Porifera; Demospongiae; Suberitida; Halichondriidae
Exons: 4
Source: RefSeq, a predicted model, not a curated record